This is a long non-coding RNA of Dendrobium catenatum, 349 nucleotides long. RefSeq lists it as uncharacterized. The transcript is spliced from 2 exons. The record is from RefSeq and is a predicted model, not a curated record. NCBI's taxonomy places the organism in Eukaryota, Viridiplantae, Streptophyta, Magnoliopsida, Asparagales, Orchidaceae.
CAGAAGAUAACUUUUUUUUUAGAAAACUGCUGUAGUUCUUAUGAAGAACAUAUCAAUUACACUUUCGUCAAUUGAACUUUCAGUGACUAAAUAGAUCCCAUAUGUCUAUAGAUUCAACUGAUUGGAAACAGAAUGUGGGAUGAAAUCCUUGCACCUGUAUCUUAAAAGAGGAGUUCUUUGUGACUGGACCUUGCUUCUAUCAGCUUCUCCUUCCUAAUAAAAAUCCUAGUCGCUAUCAUUUUUUCUCUUCCAUUUGGUCCAAUUUGCCAAUAUCCGCAUGGGCAGACACAUACUUCUGAUAAGAGUACUAUUUAGUCCUGUGACUUUGGAUUUAUUAUUCUGUGCGGAG